UAUCCCUUUAGGAAUAAUGUAUUGACAUAUGAAAAUAUAUGGUUUGGCAUGUUUCAGGUUGGAAGAUCUUUUGCAUGUUUCUUAAAAGAUUUGUUCAGGAGCUAGUUGCAUUGUGAUUCAUAUCCUGUUAGAAAUUUCAACUCUUUUUUGCUUCUGAAAUCUUUCUUGGUCAGCAAGAUCUUUAAUUUUGCAGGUCGAAAAGUCAGAAGAGUAUAACGUUUCAC
RNAcentral lists this long non-coding RNA (224 nucleotides) under Setaria viridis. RNAcentral describes it as "long non-coding RNA (SVIR_LNC002054)". The record is from RNAcentral. Lineage: Eukaryota; Viridiplantae; Streptophyta; Magnoliopsida; Poales; Poaceae.